UACGGAGGGUGCGAGCGUUGUCCGGAAUCAUUGGGCGUAAAGGGCGCGUAGGUGGCCCGGUCAGUUCGUGGUGAAAGCGCGGGGCUCAACUCCGCGUCGGCCAUGAAUACUGCUGGGCUGGAGCACUGUAGAGGCAGGCGGAAUUCCGGGUGUAGCGGUGGAAUGCGUAGAGAUCCGGAAGAACACCAGUGGCGAAGGCGGCCCGCUGGGCAGUGGCUGACGCUGAGGCGCGACAGCGUGGGGAGCAAACAGG
This 253-nucleotide ribosomal RNA is filed under the name uncultured bacterium. RNAcentral describes it as "partial 16S ribosomal RNA". It matches the Rfam family "Bacterial small subunit ribosomal RNA", at positions 524 to 776 of the family's 1533-position model. The record is from RNAcentral.